AUGUGGAUGUGUUGCAAAAAAUAUCAGGAUGGUGGACUUCAAAAAGGUUUUGGUUUCUUUAAAGGACUAUGAAGCAUUAAGGGAAAGGACUACCACUGGGGAUCCCAAUCCUACCCAGGUUCAUGCGAGUUUAGGUGUAGAUCCUGAUGCUGUUGCUGCUAUCAGAAGGCAACGGCUAAGUGAGAUUUCAAUGUGGUUUAGUCCACUCGGUAACAGUGAUCACAAUAAUUCUAAUGCAGUUUCACAGGUUGUUUCUGAACAACCUUUGAAUGCUGUCACUGAAGAUAUUGUCCCUCCUGAGAAUCUUGCAACCAAAUGGGCUGUGGAAGGUACUGGAAUUUUGCUUGCUACUGGGCUGCUGACUGUUACUUUAGCAUGGCUCAUUGCUCCCCAUGUUGGAAAGAAAACUGCAAGAAGUGGUCUUCACAUUCUCCUUGGAGGCGUCUGUGCUUUAACAGUUGUGAUCUUCUUUCGCUUUACUGUGCUCACUCGAAUCAAAUAUGGACCUGCACGAUACUGGGCUAUCUUAUUCGUCUUCUGGUUUCUUGUAUUUGGUAUAUGGGCUUCACGAACCCACGGUGCACAUACAACCUAAUUUCUUUGUACAUCAUUGUGGCAUGCAAACUUAUUCUAUGUUUGGAUAGAUUGUUUGGGUAUGUUAAAUGAAAAUGGAUUUGGAUUCAUCCAAAUCCCAAAUGUAUAAGAAAGCUUAAAAUAACUAGACUGAACUCGUUAUUUCAAAUCCGGUUCUCGCAAUGGAAUUCUCAUGAUAGAAGCAGAAACCUCUGGUUGCUGCCUCUUGCUCCAGGUUUCUACCUCUCUCCAUCUCGUCACUAUCCGCUUUCUUUCCAUCUUCCCAUUGAUACCCCUCUCUCACGUUGUUGCUACCCUCUUUCUCUCUCUCUCCUUCGGUGCCUCUCUGUCUCUUGCCCUUGCUCCAGG
This 942-nucleotide unclassified non-coding RNA is filed under the name Hevea brasiliensis (rubber tree). The record is from RNAcentral. Lineage: Eukaryota; Viridiplantae; Streptophyta; Magnoliopsida; Malpighiales; Euphorbiaceae.